Molecule: ribosomal RNA, 803 nt
Filed under: uncultured bacterium
Lineage: Bacteria
Description: bacterial SSU rRNA
Rfam family: Bacterial small subunit ribosomal RNA
Source: RNAcentral
AGAGUUUGAUCCUGGCUCAGGAUGAACGCUGGCGGCGUGCUUAACACAUGCAAGUCGAACGGGAAACAAAUUAUUGAAGCUUCGGCAGAUCUAGCUUGUUUCUAGUGGCGGACGGGUGAGUAACGCGUGGGUAACCUGCCUCACACUGGGGGAUAACAGUCAGAAAUGGCUGCUAAUACCGCAUAAGCGCACAGCAUCGCAUGAUGCCGUGUGAAAAACUCCAGUGGUGUGAGAUGGACCCGCGUUGGAUUAGCUAGUUGGCAGGGCAGCGGCCUACCAAGCCGACGAUCCAUAGCCGGCCUGAGAGGGUGAACGGCCACAUUGGGACUGAGACACGGCCCAGACUCCUACGGGAGGCAGCAGUAGGGAAUAUUGCACAAUGGGGGAAACCCUGAUGCAGCGACGCCGCGUGAAGGAAGAAGUAUCUCGGUAUGUAAACUUCUAUCAGCAGGGAAGACAAUGACGGUACCUGACUAAGAAGCCCCGGCUAACUACGUGCCAGCAGCCGCGGUAAUACGUAGGGGGCAAGCGUUAUCCGGAUUUACUGGGUGUAAAGGGAGCGUAGACGGACGGGCAAGUCUGAAGUGAAAGGCAGGGGCUCAACCCCUGGACUGCUUUGGAAACUGUCCAUCUAGAGUGCCGGAGAGGUAAGCGGAAUUCCUAGUGUAGCGGUGAAAUGCGUAGAUAUUAGGAAGAACACCAGUGGCGAAGGCGACUCUCUGGACUGUAACUGACGCUGAGGCUCGAAAGCGUGGGGAGCAAACAAAAUUAGAUACCCUGGUAGUCCACGCCGUAAACGAUGA